RNAcentral lists this transfer RNA (73 nucleotides) under filamentous cyanobacterium CCP2. It matches the Rfam family "tRNA". From Rfam's summary of the family: Transfer RNA (tRNA) molecules are approximately 80 nucleotides in length. Their secondary structure includes four short double-helical elements and three loops (D, anti-codon, and T loops). Further hydrogen bonds mediate the characteristic L-shaped molecular structure. tRNAs have two regions of fundamental functional importance: the anti-codon, which is responsible for specific mRNA codon recognition, and the 3' end, to which the tRNAs corresponding amino acid is attached (by aminoacyl-tRNA synthetases). tRNAs cope with the degeneracy of the genetic code in two manners: having more than one tRNA (with a specific anti-codon) for a particular amino acid; and 'wobble' base-pairing, i.e. permitting non-standard base-pairing at the 3rd anti-codon position. RNAcentral also lists the same sequence under 1 other name. The record is from Rfam by way of RNAcentral. Lineage: Bacteria; Bacillati; Cyanobacteriota.
GCUCCAGUAGCUCAGUGGAUAGAGCAACCGCCUUCUAAGCGGUCGGUCGUAGGUUCGAGUCCUGCCUGGAGCG